Molecule: ribosomal RNA, 464 nt
Filed under: uncultured Klebsiella sp.
Lineage: Bacteria; Pseudomonadati; Pseudomonadota; Gammaproteobacteria; Enterobacterales; Enterobacteriaceae
Description: bacterial SSU rRNA
Rfam family: Bacterial small subunit ribosomal RNA
Source: RNAcentral
CCUACGGGCGGCAGCAGUGGGGAAUAUUGCACAAUGGGCGCAAGCCUGAUGCAGCCAUGCCGCGUGUGUGAAGAAGGCCUUCGGGUUGUAAAGCACUUUCAGCGGGGAGGAAGGCGUUAAGGUUAAUAACCUUGGCGAUUGACGUUACCCGCAGAAGAAGCACCGGCUAACUCCGUGCCAGCAGCCGCGGUAAUACGGAGGGUGCAAGCGUUAAUCGGAAUUACUGGGCGUAAAGCGCACGCAGGCGGUCUGUCAAGUCGGAUGUGAAAUCCCCGGGCUCAACCGGGGAACUGCAUUCGAAACUGGGAGGCUAGUGGCUUGUAGAGGGGGGUAGAAUUCCAGGUGUAGCGGUGAAAUGCGUAGAGAGCUGGAGGAAUACCGGUGGCGAAGGCGGCCCCCUGGACAAAGACUGACGCUCAGGUGCGAAAGCGUGGGGAGCAAACAGGAUUAGAUACCCAGUAGUC